RNAcentral lists this ribosomal RNA (460 nucleotides) under uncultured bacterium. Its description in RNAcentral is "partial 16S ribosomal RNA". It matches the Rfam family "Bacterial small subunit ribosomal RNA", at positions 338 to 795 of the family's 1533-position model. The record is from RNAcentral.
CCUACGGGUGGCAGCAGUGAGGAAUAUUGGUCAAUGGACGAGAGUCUGAACCAGCCAAGUAGCGUGAAGGAUGACUGCACUAUGGGUUGUAAACUUCUUUUAUAUGGGAAUAAAAUGUUCCACGUGUGGGAUUUUGUAUGUACCAUAUGAAUAAGCAUCGGCUAACUCCGUGCCAGCAGCCGCGGUAAUACGGAGGAUCCGAGCGUUAUCCGGAUUUAUUGGGUUUAAAGGGAGCGUAGGUGGAUUGUUAAGUCAGUUGUGAAAGUGUGCGGCUCAACCGUAAAAUGGCAGUUGAAACUGGCAGUCUUGAGUACAGUAGAGGUGUGCGGAAUUCGUGGUGUAGCGGUGAAAUGCUUAGAUAUCACGAAGAACUCCGAUUGCGAAGGCAGUUCACUGGACUGCAACUGACACUGAGGCUCGAAAGUGUGGGUAUCAAACAGGAUUAGAUACCCCUGUAGUC